RNAcentral lists this unclassified non-coding RNA (299 nucleotides) under uncultured Thielavia. RNAcentral's name for it is "sequence contains ITS1". The stretch from base 1 to 105 matches the Rfam family "5.8S ribosomal RNA", at positions 50 to 154 of the family's 154-position model. The record is from RNAcentral. Lineage: Eukaryota; Fungi; Ascomycota; Sordariomycetes; Sordariales; Chaetomiaceae.
GAAAUGCGAUAAGUAAUGUGAAUUGCAGAAUUCAGUGAAUCAUCGAAUCUUUGAACGCACAUUGCGCCCCCCAGUAUUCUGGAGGGCAUGCCUGUUCGAGCGUCAUUUCAACCAUCAAGCCCCGGGCUUGUGUUGGGGACCUGCGGCUGCCGCAGGCCCCGAAAAGCAGUGGCGGGCUCGCUGUCACCCCGAGCGUAGUAGUAACAUCUCGCUUAGGGCGUGCCGCGGGCGCCGGCCGUUAAACCCCCUUAACUUCUAAGGUUGACCUCGGAUCAGGUAGGAGUACCCGCUGAACUUAA